UCCAGAGGAGGAACCCCUUUCAAAUUGGAGGCUCUGCGGGAGACAGCAGCCAGGGUAUAGAGUGCAGAGGCGCCCUUGGCGGGGAGAAGGUGCUGGUGCUGGACGACAUCAUGGCAGUGGUCCAGAUAGUAGUCGAGGAGAAGGCCAACAUAGAGCAGUAGAAGGACUACCAGCGGGCACAGCCUGGCCCUGGCCCCAGCAUGCCCCAGCAGGCAACAGACUCUCUGGAGGUCCUUUACUUGGAGCUGCACUCUGUGGAUGCCCCAGGCUGCAUGGGACACACGGCUGAGGCGGAAGUUUUGGCCGAGGCGCCUGCCCGGGCUGGACGGCACAGGGGCCAUCAGCCAGGGCAUCUCCCGCUUCUGGGCCUAUUUCUGCAAUGAAGUGAUCAUUAAGGAGUAUCAGGUUGGCAUCUACAGGAUGUCUGGCAUGACUAUAGCCCAGUGGUUCUAGAGUCAUGCAGCAGAAGCCGCCAGCUUCAGGCAGGACACAGCCUAACUGAGCUUCUUCAGCUGGUUGGCUGACCGUGAUCACUCAAAGUCAGCCAGGAUUGCUGAG
This 558-nucleotide long non-coding RNA is filed under the name Homo sapiens (human). RNAcentral's name for it is "non-protein coding lnc-AMELY-26:1". Lineage: Eukaryota; Metazoa; Chordata; Mammalia; Primates; Hominidae. The record is from RNAcentral.